Molecule: ribosomal RNA, 467 nt
Filed under: Salmonella enterica subsp. enterica serovar Berta
Lineage: Bacteria; Pseudomonadati; Pseudomonadota; Gammaproteobacteria; Enterobacterales; Enterobacteriaceae
Also listed under: 1 other name
Description: partial 16S ribosomal RNA
Rfam family: Bacterial small subunit ribosomal RNA
Source: RNAcentral
CAAGGCGACGAUCCCUAGCUGGUCUGAGAGGAUGACCAGCCACACUGGAACUGAGACACGGUCCAGACUCCUACGGGAGGCAGCAGUGGGGAAUAUUGCACAAUGGGCGCAAGCCUGAUGCAGCCAUGCCGCGUGUAUGAAGAAGGCCUUCGGGUUGUAAAGUACUUUCAGCGGGGAGGAAGGUGUUGUGGUUAAUAACCGCAGCAAUUGACGUUACCCGCAGAAGAAGCACCGGCUAACUCCGUGCCAGCAGCCGCGGUAAUACGGAGGGUGCAAGCGUUAAUCGGAAUUACUGGGCGUAAAGCGCACGCAGGCGGUCUGUCAAGUCGGAUGUGAAAUCCCCGGGCUCAACCUGGGAACUGCAUUCGAAACUGGCAGGCUUGAGUCUUGUAGAGGGGGGUAGAAUUCCAGGUGUAGCGGUGAAAUGCGUAGAGAUCUGGAGGAAUACCGGUGGCGAAGGCGGCCCC